RNAcentral lists this ribosomal RNA (875 nucleotides) under uncultured bacterium. RNAcentral describes it as "bacterial SSU rRNA". It matches the Rfam family "Bacterial small subunit ribosomal RNA", at positions 32 to 881 of the family's 1533-position model. The record is from RNAcentral.
AACGCUGGCGGCGUGCCUCAGACAUGCAAGUCGAACGCGAAACCUUCCUUCGGGAGGGGAGUAGAGUGGCGCACGGGUGAGUAACACGUUGGUAAUUUGCCUUCGGGUGGGGAAUAACAGCCGGAAACGGCUGCUAAUACCGCAUAAUGCAGCGGCUCGACAUCGAGACAGUUGUUAAAGCGCGGGAUUCGCAAGAACCUCGUGCCUGAAGAGAAGCCUGCGGCAGAAUAGCUAGUUGGUAGGGUAACGGCCUACCAAGGCGACGAUCUGUAGCCGGCCUGAGAGGGCGGUCGGCCACACUGACACUGACAUACCCGUCAGACUCCUACGGGAGGCAGCAGUCGGGAAUUUUGGGCAAUGGGCGAAAGCCUGACCCAGCAACGCCGCGUGAAGGAUGAAAUCCCUCGGGAUGUAAACAACGCAAGAAUGGGAAGAAUAAGUAGAAGCGAAUACCUUCUAUGAUGACGGUACCAUUUGUAAGCUCCGGCUAACUCCGUGCCAGCAGCCGCGGUAAUACGGGGGGAGCAAGCGUUGUUCGGAUUUACUGGGCGUAAAGGGCGCGUAGGCGGUCACUACAAGUCAGUUGUGAAAUCUCUGGGCUUAACUCAGAACGGUCAACUGAUACUGUCGGACUAGAGUGCAGAAGGGGCAACUGGAAUUCUCGGUGUAGCGGUGAAAUGCGUAGAUAUCGAGAGGAACACCUGCGGCGAAGGCGGGUUGCUGGGCUGACACUGACGCUGAGGCGCGAAAGCUAGGGGAGCGAACGGGAUUAGAUACCCCGGUAGUCCUAGCCUUAAACGAUGAAUGCUUGGUGUCUCGGGUUAUAUAGUCCCGAGGUGCCGUCGCUAACGCAUUAAGCAUUCCGCCUGGGGAGU